This 542-nucleotide ribosomal RNA is filed under the name uncultured bacterium. RNAcentral describes it as "bacterial SSU rRNA". It matches the Rfam family "Bacterial small subunit ribosomal RNA", at positions 775 to 1308 of the family's 1533-position model. The record is from RNAcentral.
AGUCAAUAGAUACCCAGGUAGUCCACGCCGUAAACGAUGUCAACUAGAUGUAGGGGGUGUUGAUCCCCUCUGUGUCGCAGCUAACGCAUUAAGUUGACCGCCUGGGGAGUACGGUCGCAAGAUUAAAACUCAAAGAAAUUGACGGGGGCCCGCACAAGCGGUGGAGUAUGUGGUUUAAUUCGAUGCAACGCGAAGAACCUUACCUGGUCUUGACAUCCCGGGAAUCCUUUGGAAACUUAGGAGUGCCUUCAUUAGAAGGAGCCCGGAGACAGGUGCUGCAUGGCUGUCGUCAGCUCGUGUCGUGAGAUGUUGGGUUAAGUCCCGCAACGGGCGCAACCCUUGCCUUUAGUUGCCAGCAGUUCGGCUGGGCACUCUAAAGGGACUGCCGGUGUCAAACCGGAGGAAGGUGGGGAUGACGUCAAGUCCUCAUGGCCUUUAUGACCAGGGCUACACACGUACUACAAUGGCCGAUACAAAGGGCAGCAACACUGCGAAGUGUAGCCAAUCCCAUAAAAUCGGUCUCAGUCCGGAUUGGAGUCUGC